This 538-nucleotide ribosomal RNA is filed under the name Bacillus subtilis group sp. Its description in RNAcentral is "bacterial SSU rRNA". It matches the Rfam family "Bacterial small subunit ribosomal RNA", at positions 74 to 596 of the family's 1533-position model. Lineage: Bacteria; Bacillati; Bacillota; Bacilli; Caryophanales; Bacillaceae. The record is from RNAcentral.
GGGAGCUUGCUCCCUGAUGUUAGCGGCGGACGGGUGAGUAACACGUGGGUAACCUGCCUGUAAGACUGGGAUAACUCCGGGAAACCGGGGCUAAUACCGGAUGGUUGUUUGAACCGCAUGGUUCAGACAUAAAAGGUGGCUUCGGCUACCACUUACAGAUGGACCCGCGGCGCAUUAGCUAGUUGGUGAGGUAACGGCUCACCAAGGCGACGAUGCGUAGCCGACCUGAGAGGGUGAUCGGCCACACUGGGACUGAGACACGGCCCAGACUCCUACGGGAGGCAGCAGUAGGGAAUCUUCCGCAAUGGACGAAAGUCUGACGGAGCAACGCCGCGUGAGUGAUGAAGGUUUUCGGAUCGUAAAGCUCUGUUGUUAGGGAAGAACAAGUGCCGUUCAAAUAGGGCGGCACCUUGACGGUACCUAACCAGAAAGCCACGGCUAACUACGUGCCAGCAGCCGCGGUAAUACGUAGGUGGCAAGCGUUGUCCGGAAUUAUUGGGCGUAAAGGGCUCGCAGGCGGUUUCUUAAGUCUGAUGUG